This 69-nucleotide transfer RNA is filed under the name Potamopyrgus antipodarum. RNAcentral's name for it is "tRNA-Arg". Lineage: Eukaryota; Metazoa; Mollusca; Gastropoda; Littorinimorpha; Tateidae. The record is from RNAcentral.
AUUUGCAUACGGUUUCGGCCCGUAAGUUAGAGGUGAAAUUCCUUUUUUAUACUCCAGUUUAAACGGAGG